This 534-nucleotide ribosomal RNA is filed under the name uncultured bacterium. RNAcentral describes it as "bacterial SSU rRNA". It matches the Rfam family "Bacterial small subunit ribosomal RNA", at positions 976 to 1509 of the family's 1533-position model. The record is from RNAcentral.
UGGCCUUGACAUACUAAGAACUUUCCAGAGAUGGAUUGGUGCCUUCGGGAACUUAGAUACAGGUGCUGCAUGGCUGUCGUCAGCUCGUGUCGUGAGAUGUUGGGUUAAGUCCCGCAACGAGCGCAACCCUUUUCCUUAUUUGCCAGCGGGUUAAGCCGGGAACUUUAAGGAUACUGCCAGUGACAAACUGGAGGAAGGCGGGGACGACGUCAAGUCAUCAUGGCCCUUACGGCCAGGGCUACACACGUGCUACAAUGGUCGGUACAAAGGGUUGCUACCUCGCGAGAGGAUGCUAAUCUCAAAAAGCCGAUCGUAGUCCGGAUCGCAGUCUGCAACUCGACUGCGUGAAGUCGGAAUCGCUAGUAAUCGCGGAUCAGAAUGCCGCGGUGAAUACGUUCCCGGGCCUUGUACACACCGCCCGUCACACCAUGGGAGUUUGUUGCACCAGAAGUAGGUAGUCUAACCGCAAGGAGGACGCUUACCACGGUGUGGCCGAUGACUGGGGUGAAGUCGUAACAAGGUAAGCGUAGAUGA